ACGCACGCUGGCGGCGUGCUUAACACCUGCAAGUCGAACGGAAAGGCCCUGCUUUUGUGGGGUGCUCGAGUGGCGAACGGGUGAGUAACACGUGAGUAACCUGCCCUUGACUUUGGGAUAACUUCAGGAAACUGGGGCUAAUACCGGAUAGGAGCUCCUGCUGCAUGGUGGGGGUUGGAAAGUUUCGGCGGUUGGGGAUGGACUCGCGGCUUAUCAGCUUGUUGGUGGGGUAGUGGCUUACCAAGGCUUUGACGGGUAGCCGGCCUGAGAGGGUGACCGGCCACAUUGGGACUGAGAUACGGCCCAGACUCCUACGGGAGGCAGCAGUGGGGAAUAUUGCACAAUGGGCGGAAGCCUGAUGCAGCAACGCCGCGUGCGGGAUGACGGCCUUCGGGUUGUAAACCGCUUUCGCCUGUGACGAAGCGUGAGUGACGGUAAUGGGUAAAGAAACACCGGCUAACUACGUG
This 467-nucleotide ribosomal RNA is filed under the name uncultured bacterium. RNAcentral's name for it is "partial 16S ribosomal RNA". It matches the Rfam family "Bacterial small subunit ribosomal RNA", at positions 29 to 507 of the family's 1533-position model. The record is from RNAcentral.